UUGGAUUUUGGACCCAUUAUGCAAUUAAGACAACAGAUGUGCAAGGAUCUCUUUAAUGCAACAGACAGAACACAGACAUGCAGUAACUGCCUGAACCCAGUGAGCACUGCAAACAAGGUUUGGGGAUCACCAAAGAAAUGGCAGAAAAAACAAAACAGACCCUCCACAAGAUGAAGGAAAAUGCCAACUCUACAUAUGAUGUUAAAGAGACCCUAUGCAACUUUCUGCAGGAGACGAUCGCUCUUUGUUUACAUCUGGAAGUCUGAGACGAAGAACCACGCUUGCAAUUUAUAUAUUUAAAUAUAGCCUAUACAUGUAUAAAUAUACACGCUAAAGCUGUCGGGGAAGCUCUGCAGAGAAAAUGCAAGCAUAAAACGAGCGAAAACGAACAACGAAACUGAAACCAGAGAUGAAAUCGCCAGUCCUGCAUAGUUCCUCUUUAACUCAUCAUUUAGUUUAGAAACACACACAUUUGGGGCACAAGCCUUGAGCUUUGUCAUUGAGUUUUUCAUUGAAAAGGUAAACAACUUGCUUUAGAUUUUAUCAUUAAAAUCUAAUGAUAGCUUAGCUUCUUUUACCCUGUUCUUGGGUUUGCUUGUCAAAGAAA
Sardina pilchardus (European sardine) is the source of this 607-nucleotide long non-coding RNA. RefSeq lists it as uncharacterized. The record is from RefSeq and is a predicted model, not a curated record. The transcript is spliced from 4 exons. NCBI's taxonomy places the organism in Eukaryota, Metazoa, Chordata, Actinopteri, Clupeiformes, Clupeidae.